AAACCCCACCGAAAUAGAAGAAGAAGAAGACCGUUAUCAUCAGAGAGGAAUGUUUAAGACGUGUGUAGCGUUCUUUUACAUUUUACUGUAGAAAUUGCGAGAGUGAUGAUUUAGGGGAUAUUAUCAAUAAAUCCUUUCCAAUAAGGCCUGACAUAAGGGACAUAUACAACAUCCUGCUGAAACAAGCUGAGUGAGCUGUGACUUACAUCUAAAAUGAGUCUCUCUGGGGAGAGAGAGGAGGAGACUGCCUCCAAAAUGAGUCUCUCUGGGGAGAGAGAGACCACUGCCUCCAAAAUGAGUCUCU
Molecule: long non-coding RNA, 304 nt
Organism: Oncorhynchus kisutch (coho salmon)
Lineage: Eukaryota; Metazoa; Chordata; Actinopteri; Salmoniformes; Salmonidae
Exons: 3
Source: RefSeq, a predicted model, not a curated record